UUUUAAUUAAAGUUAGUUAAUAAGAAAUUAAAUGAAAUCAUUAAAUUUAAAAAAUUUGGCGGUAUUUUAAAUAGUUAGAGGAACUUGUUAAUUAAAUGAUAAUCCACGAAUGGAGUGUCCUGAUAAAAUUUUAUGUAUUGUUGUAUAAAAAUUAUUUUAUGAGAAUUAUAAUUAAAAUAUUUAAUUUAAUUUUAAUUCAAAUCAAAAUGUAGAAUUAUUAGGUUUAAAUGAGUUACAAUUUAAUUUAAUAAAAUAAUUAUUUUUUUAAUUAGAAUAAUAAAUUAGGAUUUAAAAGUAAAUUUAAAAAAAUUUUUUNNUUGAAAUAUUAAUU
Molecule: ribosomal RNA, 331 nt
Filed under: Pheidole oceanica
Lineage: Eukaryota; Metazoa; Arthropoda; Insecta; Hymenoptera; Formicidae
Description: partial 12S ribosomal RNA
Source: RNAcentral